UUCUACGCGUUCCUAACUUCGAGACCCAUCUUUUUCACCGACCUAUGGCAUAUAUAAAGCCACCACCACGUCACAGUUUCGUUUUUCCUUUCCUCUUCUCGAAACCAUAGAUCAACGAAUCUUAACUCGUUGCUUUGACCCCCUAAACCACUUCAAAUCGCUUCGGGCUCUACACGAAAGUUGUAGAUCUCGUCGAGAUCUUUCAAUCCGACCAAUCUCAUCUCUUUUCAUCCACCAUACACGGAUAAUUUCGCUUCGCAAGGCGUCAGGUCUGACAAAGGGAAUCUUCAAUUAGUUCGUGCUCGUUCUACGAAAUCCAAAUUCCUUUGAUCUAUUUCGAGUCAACCGGAGCCAAAUCGAGUUUCAAAACUAUCUCGAAUCGUCAUGACUUCAACACGGAAGUUGUUCAUCUCGUCAAAAUCUUUCCAUUGCCGCAAGUUUCACCUUGUUUCGUUCACCGAGCAAGGAGAAAAUGAUGUUACAAAAUUCAGAUCUUAUAAGUUGUACGGAGAGGCACGUAUUUUGAUUAAGAGAAGUGAACGCGCUUCGAUUACCGAAAAGGCAAGUGACACUCAAAUCCUACUUAUUUUAAUUAUGCAUUAGUGUUUUGAAACUAGCAUGCAUGGUAGGAUUUUGUUUUCAAAGUAAAAUAUUAUGCUAUGCUUAGCAAACCCUAGUAGUGUGUAGCUACUCCUGAACCUGUUGAUAGGAUACUUUAUUUUUGCUCUGCAACAUCAAAUGCCAAAUGUUAUUUCAUUGUUUCGAUUGUGAUGGUUUGAAAAGUGAAAAUUAACAACCUUAAUGAAUCACCUGGGUGGAUUGUUUGAGUGGU
Lolium perenne is the source of this 832-nucleotide non-coding RNA. The record is from RefSeq and is a predicted model, not a curated record. NCBI's taxonomy places the organism in Eukaryota, Viridiplantae, Streptophyta, Magnoliopsida, Poales, Poaceae.